CCAAAGGCUCUUUUAAGAGCCACCUAAAUUUUCUAAAGAAAGAGCU
Molecule: non-coding RNA, 46 nt
Filed under: Marmota monax (woodchuck)
Lineage: Eukaryota; Metazoa; Chordata; Mammalia; Rodentia; Sciuridae
Rfam family: Histone 3' UTR stem-loop
About the family: The mRNAs of metazoan histone genes lack a poly-A tail. 3' end processing occurs at a site between a highly conserved stem-loop (modelled by this family) and a purine rich region around 20 nts downstream (the histone downstream element, or HDE).
Source: RNAcentral